AGAGAAGGAGGCCAGUGCUACCAGGGUUAUCUCGCAGCCUCAGAUGUUGGAUAAGUCGAAGGAGGCAGGAUCGCUUCAGGAUGACAUUCAGAAAGGCCGGAGUGAUUACUGGGAAGAGAAAGCCUACCUAUUUUUUUCUAAGGUAAACAGUUCAUUUCAUCUGUC
This 165-nucleotide long non-coding RNA is filed under the name Capra hircus (goat). RNAcentral's name for it is "Rhabdomyosarcoma 2 associated transcript conserved region 8 (ENSCHIG00000008733.1)". The stretch from base 1 to 142 matches the Rfam family "Rhabdomyosarcoma 2 associated transcript conserved region 8". The record is from RNAcentral. Lineage: Eukaryota; Metazoa; Chordata; Mammalia; Artiodactyla; Bovidae.